UAGAUGUUAUAAGUUAGGCAAUGAGCAUAGAAAUCAUAACAUUCCUAGUCAGGUUAGCUUUCUGUCUAAUCAGGUUAGUCAUUUGACUGAGAUGCUUACUAAGCUUACUAGGAGUACUUUAUCAUCUAGGAAAGUUUGGGUCAAAAAGGGUGAUCUAGCUAGACAUUCAGGUCAAGAAAACUGUUUUGUUGCUCAUGUUGCAUUAAAAGCCCAAAAUUACAAUAUGUGGUAUCUAGAUAGUGCAUGUUCUAGGCAUAUGUGUGGUAAUAAAGCUUUGUUCACUACUCUUGAUGAAUGUAAUGGUGGUAUGGUUACCUUUGGAGAUGGGG
Molecule: long non-coding RNA, 329 nt
Filed under: Olea europaea (common olive)
Lineage: Eukaryota; Viridiplantae; Streptophyta; Magnoliopsida; Lamiales; Oleaceae
Description: long non-coding RNA (OEUR_LNC002193)
Source: RNAcentral